CACAUCUUUAGAGGCUGCACAUUGAAGGCAGAGAAACAUGCAGCUAAACAACCCAGAUUUUUUUGUUUCUGAACAGGAUCCUGAGAAUUGUAUCUGAAGAAAAAUAAGAAAACACAGCUUAAAGUCACUGCUUUCAAGCUUCUGGAAGAAUACAGUUUUCAGGAAACUGCAUCCUUCUCAGGGCUUGGAGAUCAAGUGAGCUGUCUUGGACCCCUAAGGUGAAGAUACACUUGUCCUUGCUCAGUGUGGGAGAGUUUUAAGGGGAAGACCAGCUCUGUCCUGCAUAUUUAUCUGCUUUCUGGUGACUUACAGAACAUGACUUUGCCACAUUUCCAAAUGAAAUAGCUCCAAGAACACACAGCUCAAGUUUCUUUUAUAAAAAGAAAUCUCCAGGAAAGACUCGGGCAGAGGAAUGACUCCAGGGACCUGAACCACGAGAGCUGAAUCUUCAUGCAACCAGGAUCAGCAAGUCUCAGCAACCACCUCUGGCAGCUGGCAUACUCUUGUAGCAUCCUGUGGAAAAAACACAAACAUUCCCUCUUCUCCAUAUAGAAUAUCUGAACAGGAUCAUGCCAAUACGUGAAUCUUUCUAUUUCACCUAGGCAGAAGUAUGCCUAGUUGUAGGGUGUCAUAAACACUCGGAGUUCCUUGGCAUAC
This 657-nucleotide long non-coding RNA is filed under the name Rattus norvegicus (Norway rat). RNAcentral's name for it is "long non-coding RNA NONRATT020225". The record is from RNAcentral. Lineage: Eukaryota; Metazoa; Chordata; Mammalia; Rodentia; Muridae.